CUGAAGAUUUAACCCAAAAAGAAAGAGAUAAAUUUGUAGCCUUAUUAAUAAAGUACCAAGAAGCAUUUGCCUGGUCUUAUAAAGAUAUGCCGGGAAUUGAUCGAGACAUAGUACAACACAAGAUCCCCACAGACCCUAACAUGAGGCCAGUAAAACAAAAGAAACGUCGGCUUAGGCCAGAAUGGGAAGAAAAGAUAGCUCAAGAGGUGAAAAAGCUUAUUGAGGCUGAUUUUAUUGAAGUAAUUGAGUAUCCCGAGUGGUUAGCCAACAUUGUGCCAGUCCCCAAGAAGGAUGGGCGAGUUCGGAUGUGUGUAGAUUAUAGGGACCUGAAUAAGGCUACUCCUAAGGAUGAUUUCCCAUUGCCUCACAUCGAUGUGCUUGUUGACAGUGCUGCUUGCAUGGCCAUGUACUCUUUCAUGGAUGGUUUUUCGGGAUAUAAUCAGAUCCUCAUGGAUUUGAUAGAUAAAGCAAAGACAGCUUUUAUCACUGAAUGGGGGACUUAUUGUUAUAAGGUCAUGCCUUUUGGGCUAAAAAAUGCUAGUGCAACUUAUCAGAGAAUGGCUACUAUGUUGUUUCAUGACAUGAUGCACAAAGAAGUUGAAGUAUAUGUGGAUGACAUGGUAGUAAAAUCCCCAACUAGGGAGAGACAUUUUGAGGCAUUAGAGAAGUUCUUUCAGAGAGUCAUCAAGUAUAAAUUGAGACUGAACCCUAGCAAGUGUGUGUUUGUGGUCACUUCAGGCAAACUGUUAGGGCAUAUGAUCAGUAGGAAAGGGAUUGAGGUUGACCCAGAUAAGGUGAAGGCAAUCCAGGAGAUGCCAGCCCCGAGAACAGAAAAAGAGAUUAGAGGUUUCUUAGGCAAAUUACAGUACAUCAGUAGGUUCAUAGCUAGGCUCACAACUACCUGUGAACCAAUUUUUAAGCUACUAAGAAAGAAUCAGCCAGUGGUGUGGAAUGAGCAAUGUCAAGAGGCAUUUGAAAAGAUAAAGCAGUACCUGAGCAAUCCACCAAUUUUGUCACCACCCAUACCUAGCAUCCCUCUAAUCCUCUACCUAUCAGUGGAAAACAUGGCCCUGGGGGCAAUGUUGGCACAAGAAGUAGAGAAUCUGGAGAGAGCCAUCUAUUACAUCAGUAAGAAACUCCUUGCUUAUGAGGAGAAUUAUUCACUAAUAGAAAGAACCUGUCUGGCUGUAGUAUGGGCAACUAAGAAGUUAAGGCACUACUUUCAGACCCAUCGAGUUAUUGUAGUAUCCCGGAUGGAUCCUUUAAAGUACCUAUUUGAAGUACCGACGCUAGUUGGAAAAUUGGCCAAAUGGUUGGUCCUACUGUCUGAAUUUGAUAUUGUGUAUGAGACUCGAAAAACCAUUAAAGGGGGUGUAGUGGCCGAAUUUCUUUCUGAAAAUCCAGUUAAUGAAGGGGAAGAAGUCGAAACAGCCUUCCCGGAUGAGAGUCUCAAGCUAGUAGAGGUCCAGCCAUGGAAAAUGUACUUUGAUGGGGCCAUGAAUAAGAGCGGAGCCGGUAUAGGGGUAGUUUUGGAAGCACCGAAUGGAGAACAAUUGUUAAUGUCAAAAAGGCUAUGUUUCCCAACCACUAAUAAUAUAGCAGAAUAUGAGGCUUGCAUUUGUGGCCUGGAGGCAUUAAUAGCUGUUGGGGCUAAAAAAGUGGAGGUGUUCGGAGAUUCAAUGCUAGUGGUUUCCCAUGUUAAAGGUGAAUGGGAAUUGAAAGAAGAAAAGUUGAGGCCAUACCUGGAGUAUGCUAAGAAACUAUUAUUUAGCUUUGAGGAAGUGACAAUGAAGCACAUGCCUAGAGCUCAGAACCAGAUAGCUGAUGCUCUAGCCACGCUGGCAUCCUUAUGGGAGAAAGGUGAUCAGAAGCUGACCCAGCCAGUUAUCUUGAUGAGGAGUAGAAUCCCAUGCUAUGAAGGGUUAAUAAUAGCACAUUUAGAUCUAGAAGAUGAGAUGAAAUGGUAUGAGGACAUAAGAAGAUAUUUAGAGGUAAGAGAAUACCCACAGUCAGCCAAUAGUAGGGAUAGAGCUACAAUUCGUAGAUUAGCCACUCAGUUCACUUUGGCUGGGGGGCAACUCUACAAAAGGUUCUUCGAAGGACUAUUGCUCUUGUGUGUGACGAAAAAGCAGUCUGAGCAGAUAAUGGAGGAAGUACAUGCAGGAGUGUGUGGUCCUCACAUGAACGGAAGGGUAUUAGCAGGCAAAAUUUUAAGAUUGGGCUAUUACUGGUCUACCAUGGAUACUGACUGCGCUAAAUUUGUGAAAAGAUGCCAUGAGUGCCAAAUCCAUGGGAAUUUGAAUCACCUACCGUCCAGUGAACUCUACAGCAUGACUUCACCGUGGCCAUUCUCAAUAUGGGGCAUAGACAUUAUUGGGAAGAUUUCUCCCACGGCUUCUAAUGGCCAUAGAUUUAUCAUAGUGGCAAUUGACUAUUUCACCAAGUGGGUUGAAGCUGAAUCUUAUAAAGUAGUAGGGGCUAAGCAGAUAAGUAAGUUUGUGCGAAGGAACUUGAUUUGCAGGUUUGGGGUACCCCAUGAGAUAGUAUCAGAUAACGGCAGCCAGUUCAAAGGUGAUUUCUUAGAAUUAAUUACCGAAUUCAAGAUUAAGCAUCACAAGUCCUCACCAUACAGGCCACAGACUAAUGGAGCAGUAGAAGCAGCAAAUAAGAAUGUGAAAACCAUUCUGAGAAAAAUGGUUGAAACCUAUAAGGAUUGGCCUGAGAAACUCCCUUAUGCUCUUUGGGGUUAUCGCACUACUACAAGAACAUCCACAGGGGCAACUCCAUUCUCUUUAGUGUAUGGGACUGAAGCAGUGCUACCCAUUGAGCUAGAGGUCAAAUCCUUGAGAGUGAUACUAGAAGCUAAGAUUCCGGAAAAUGAGUGGGCCCAGAAAAGAUAUGAAGAACUAGCUUUGAUUAAAAGAGAAUGUGAGCCUUGUGUCAUAUACAGGCUUAUCAGAGGAAGACAGCUAGAGCCUUUAAUAAGAAGGUAAAGCCAAGAAAGAUCAAAGAGGGAUACAAGAUUUAAGAGGAAAGUUUACCCAAGCUAGGAUGGUCCAUACA
This 3063-nucleotide unclassified non-coding RNA is filed under the name Hevea brasiliensis (rubber tree). Lineage: Eukaryota; Viridiplantae; Streptophyta; Magnoliopsida; Malpighiales; Euphorbiaceae. The record is from RNAcentral.